This 653-nucleotide long non-coding RNA is filed under the name Canis lupus familiaris (dog). Its description in RNAcentral is "lncRNA (ENSCAFG00000055282.1)". The record is from RNAcentral. Lineage: Eukaryota; Metazoa; Chordata; Mammalia; Carnivora; Canidae.
AUGGAUUUUAUUACCACAGAAAAGCCAGACUUCACACCCGAAUGCCAGGCUCUGCCAGAGAAAAGGGGUUCGGGAGGAGCAGACACUGAAAAAAAAUCACAGGCUGUGAAGCAGCUGGGAAGAGACGGAGUGAAAGUCUUUGGAAGAAAAUAAGCCCUGAAUGUGGAAUGUCCAUGAAAGAGAAACUUGUUAAAAUUCUAUGAAAAGAAGCUUUGGAAAAGACAAAAGAAUUGCUAAGAGAGCCACAAAGGCAACCGCUUGAAAGAAACAAAUUCUACUAGAAUCUCCACUACGACUUUUAUGGUUACGGAGGUAAGGCAGUGAGCUGCUGUGGCUCUUGUUUUCUUCUCCAUCAGGAAAACUGGAAGGAAAACGUCCCCAUGUUCACGUAACAAAAUAUCAGGAAAAUAACCAAGGUGACUAUUUAGGAACCUUGCUCGAGAUCUGUCAAUAGUAAGUAAAAAACAGACUUAAGGUCUGAUAGAGGCAUCAGAGGAUUCCUCUGGAGCUUUCUUCAGUUGGGCACAGGGGAGCAUUUUUAGGAGAGAUUUCAGUGAAGGUAAUUCUGGCCGUGGGGCCCAGCUGUCAGCGUUGAUGGGUUAGAGGUCGGAUGGGAAGACUGCCGCCUGGAACCACAGCCGGGUUCAAUAGGC